Molecule: ribosomal RNA, 440 nt
Filed under: uncultured bacterium
Lineage: Bacteria
Description: bacterial SSU rRNA
Rfam family: Bacterial small subunit ribosomal RNA
Source: RNAcentral
AACGCGAAGAACCUUACCUACUCUUGAAUCCACGGAAUCUUGCAGAAAUGUGAGAGUGCCUUCGGGAGCCGUGAGACAGGUGCUGCAUGGCUGUCGUCAGCUCGUGUCGUGAGAUGUUGGGUUAAGUCCCGUAACGAGCGCAACCCUUGUCCUUAGUUACCAGCGAGUAAAGUCGGGGACUUUAAGGAGACUGCCGGUGAUAAACCGGAGGAAGGUGGGGAUGACGUCAAGUCCUCAUGGCCCUUACGAGUAGGGCUACACACGUGCUACAAUGGCCGGUACAAAGGGUUGCCAACCCGCGAGGGGGAGCCAAUCUCAAAAAGCCGGUCGUAGUCCGGAUUGGAGUCUGCAACUCGACUCCAUGAAGCUGGAAUCGCUAGUAAUCGCGGAUCAGAACGCCGCGGUGAAUACGUUCCCGGGCCUUGUACACACCGAUACUC